Molecule: ribosomal RNA, 254 nt
Filed under: uncultured prokaryote
Description: partial 16S ribosomal RNA
Rfam family: Bacterial small subunit ribosomal RNA
Source: RNAcentral
ACGUAGGGGGCAAGCGUUGUCCGGAUUUAUUGGGCGUAAAGAGCUCGUAGGUGGCUCAGUAAGUCGGGUGUGAUACCUCCAGGCUCAACCUGGAGACGCCACCCGAUACUGCUGUGGCUUGAGUCCGGUAGGGGAGCGUGGAAUUCCUGGUGUAGCGGUGGAAUGCGUAGAUAUCGGGAAGAACACCGGUGGCGAAGGCGGCUCGCUGGGCCAUUGCUGACGCUGAGGCGCGAAAGCGUGGGGAGCAAACAGGA